Molecule: RNA transcript, 1148 nt
Organism: Zingiber officinale
Lineage: Eukaryota; Viridiplantae; Streptophyta; Magnoliopsida; Zingiberales; Zingiberaceae
Exons: 9
Source: RefSeq, a predicted model, not a curated record
CACGCGCAUCUUCUCUUACCUUCGACUUCAGAGAAUCCAUCCACCGAUCGACUUAAUUCGAAGAAGCAUCCGGAGUUUAUCUUGAUCUUUCCCCCAAAAAAACAAGUUUCUCAGGUGAUGCGUAAAAUCUGCAUGUCUUGAAGCUUUAGCGAAUCUAUCAACCGAGAACCGAGAACUUAACGAUUCCCUCCUCCUUCCCCAAAUAUGGAACUAUAAAAUGAUCGGCAUGGAUGAUGGCAGAGAAAGAGGACCGGCAGCUGAUGUCGUCGCCACGAGCCAAGGGGUGGCAGUUUUGUCGCGAUCUCCUAAUGAAAACCCUGGAGAUGGCAAUCCGCCGGCGGCUGCUCUCGCCGACAUCCUGAAGGCGCUCGAAGUCGUAGAGAGGGAUUCCGUCGCCAUUACCGAGAGCUUUACCUCCCUGUUCUCCUCCCUCCGUCUCGUUCUGGCAGAGGCCUCUAGUACCUCACUUGAGAACAUGCAGUGCUUUAAUGAUGUCGUUGGUCGUCUACAAGAAUCUGCUCUUGAUGCCGCAACGAAGGGCAAUCAUUACAUAAAUUCAUACCUGAGAUUGCAUGAGGAAAUGAGGAACUUGGAAACUCUUGCAUUGCAGUUACAAGUAUUGAGGAAGAAUGUGGACUCACUGGAUCAGGUUGUCGAUCGACUUUUGCUUCCGUGAUUGAACAUUAUUUGUGAGCAUUUGAAGAUUGAUAUUACAGAGUGCUCCAAGUACCAAACUCAAAUGAUUUUACAUUGAGCUCUUCCAAACUUAUCAACAUGCUUUCUCUACUUAAUGCAGCAACCUGAAAUCACAAUUCAACUAAAUAAAGAACGAAUGGUCAAUUUGUUUAGCUCUGUAUAAUAAUCUACAAGGACGAACUGCGAGAUCCUAGAAGGCUCAAAGAUAAAGAUAAAGUUGUCAACUGUUUUUACAUUCAAGUUAUUUAACAUUUUGCUUGUGCGGUAGCCUAUAAUUCUUUAGUUGGAUUGUUCUCUUGUGGGACGAUAUUUUGUGGUUGGUGAUGUUGAGCUUAGUUUGGUUGUGCGGACGGGAUGGUAAGGCCUACCUUUCUUCUUGUUGCUUGUCGUGUGGUGGCUAAUUUGUAGUACUUCGUGGUUUGGUUAGUUGACAAUUUCAUUUGCCCUACUAA